RNAcentral lists this ribosomal RNA (460 nucleotides) under uncultured bacterium. Its description in RNAcentral is "partial 16S ribosomal RNA". It matches the Rfam family "Bacterial small subunit ribosomal RNA", at positions 338 to 795 of the family's 1533-position model. The record is from RNAcentral.
CCUACGGGUGGCUGCAGUGGGGAAUAUUGGUCAAUGGGCGCGAGCCUGACCCAGCCACGCCGCGUGAGUGAUGAAUGCCCUCCGGGUGUAAAACUCUUUUUAUAGAGAAGUAAAGUGAGGCACGUCUGCGUUUUUGUAUGUACUUUAUGAAUAAGGAUCGGCUAACUCCGUGCCAGCAGCGGCGGUAAUAUGGAGGAUCCGAGCGUUAUCCGGAUUUAUUGGGUUUAAAGGGAGCGUAGAGGGGUUGUUAAGUCAGUUGUGAAAGUCUGGGGCUCAACCGUAAAAUUGCAAUUGAUACUGGCAGACUUGAGUGCAGUUGAGGUAGGCGGAAUUCGUGGUGUAGCGGUGAAAUGCUUAGAUAUCACGAAGAACACCAAUGGCGAAGGCAGCCUACUAAACUGCCACUGACAUUGAUGCUCGAAAGUGUGGGUAGCAAACAGGAUUAGAUACCCUAGUAGUC